UCUUUAUCAAUAUUACAUUUCCUUUUAUCCUGUUUGAAGCUCUAAGAGAGGACGGUACGACACAGCUGGCAGAGCCAUUGCUGUAAGCUUGGUACAUGGCGCUCCGCCAACAAACCUCCUCUCACCAACAGGAUUUUCUCUUCUGGUUGAUGCUUCAGCAAAACCAGAGCUACAAGACAAAGAGUCACAAGCAGGAGGUGAAGCGGCUCGGGGACUUUCCUCACUGCAGAAACAGCAGAUUAAAUCCAUAAUUCCCGUGAGAAGCGGCAGAGCAGGUUGGUGUGAAGGUGUGGACUCUGCUAUGAAUCAGGCUGAGGACCCAGAGGACGGAGUCCCUCCCUCUGAAGCCCCUCUGUGUGGGGAACAUGACAGCCAGACCAAAGCUCAGAGGUGAGAGGACCAUCUCCAACUGUCUUCCACUCGUCUCCAUGUCCCAACGUCUCUGACUCACUGACUCUGCUUCUACAUGUGUGACCAG
Molecule: long non-coding RNA, 478 nt
Organism: Gasterosteus aculeatus aculeatus (three-spined stickleback)
Lineage: Eukaryota; Metazoa; Chordata; Actinopteri; Perciformes; Gasterosteidae
Source: Ensembl